RNAcentral lists this ribosomal RNA (253 nucleotides) under uncultured bacterium. RNAcentral's name for it is "partial 16S ribosomal RNA". It matches the Rfam family "Bacterial small subunit ribosomal RNA", at positions 524 to 776 of the family's 1533-position model. The record is from RNAcentral.
UACGUAGGGACCGAGCGUUGUCCGGAAUCAUUGGGCGUAAAGAGCGUGUAGGCGGCCAAUUAAGUCCUGCGUGAAAUCUCGGGGCUCAACCCCGAGCGGUCGUGGGAAACUGGUUGGCUAGAGUGCGGGAGAGGAGAGUGGAAUUCCCGGUGUAGAGGUGAAAUUCGUAGAUAUCGGGAGGAACACCGGUGGCGAAGGCGGCGACCUGGGUAGAUACUGACGCUGAGGUGCGAAAGCGUGGGGAGCAAACAGG